Molecule: long non-coding RNA, 960 nt
Organism: Argiope bruennichi
Lineage: Eukaryota; Metazoa; Arthropoda; Arachnida; Araneae; Araneidae
Exons: 5
Source: RefSeq, a predicted model, not a curated record
UUGCCACCGGAUGUAUAUCUCCCGAUCUACCGGAUAUGAACAAAAAUUCAUCAACAUGAUGUCAUAAAAUCAUUGUUUAUAUCAUACUGAUCAUUUAGCGUCGGCUUUAUCUAGCAAUUUACUGCGGUAUUCGUGAAUUUCGAUUAUUGUUAACCCGGAAAAAGCUAAGAACUACGAUUCUGAAGAAUGCGCCGGAGAACACACCUUCCUAUCUAGCAAUACUUACUGACUAAUCAUUUUUCACUUUGCUCUGCCUAUACCUGAAACUUCUUAUCAGUCAUCUUGGGAAGAAUUAUCUUGCAAGAGAUGGCUUGCAUUUAAAAAAAUGGGUUGCUAAGCUCCUUGCGGAUUGCAUUAUUCCAUACUUAACAGGAUGCAUUUGAGCUGAUGUAUUUUCUAAAAAGUUCUUAUCAGUCAUCUUGGGAAGAAUUAUCUUGCAAGAGAUGGCUUGCAUUUAAAAAAAUGGGUUACUAAGCUCUUUGUGGAUUGCAUUAUUCCAUACUUAACAGGAUGCAUUUCAGCUGAUAUAUCUUCUAGAAAGCAUUUGUUUCUUUUGCUUUGCCAAAGCAAGAGUCUACAUGGUCAGUUUCUCGGCCAAAGUAAGAGUCUGCAAGGCCAAUGCAACAGUCAGCUGUGAUGCUCAAGAAAGAAAUUUCUUCUUUGCUGUGUUUUACAGAUAACAUUCAAUUUGUACUUCCUGUGAUGCCAUGCAUUCCAUUCUGAAGUUCCUUUAUGAAAAAAAAAAUAGCAUCAGGAUAAGUCCAUUCAAGAAAUCAUCCAAUCAAGAAUUCAAGAAAUAAAGCAGUAAGUGACAGCUAAGAAAUGGAACAUUUUCCAUGCUGUAGCUGUGUUGUAUAUAAAAGUGAAAAUGGGUCAUUUGGAUAAUAUGAAAAGAAUUGUAUUAUAUUUGUUUAGUGUACAUUCUUAUGGGGGGGGAGGGCAUAGAAAUCUGUAUAAAAA